This 89-nucleotide ribosomal RNA is filed under the name Candidatus Enterocola intestinipullorum. The record is from RNAcentral. Lineage: Bacteria; Pseudomonadati; Bacteroidota; Bacteroidia; Bacteroidales.
GGAUCCACCUCUUCCCAUUCCGAACAGAGAAGUUAAGCCCGCCGUUGCCGAUGGUACUGCGCAAGCGGGAGAGUAGGAAGCCGCCACCU